CGGGGUAGAGCAGCCUGGUAGCUCGUCGGGCUCAUAACCCGGAGGUCGUUGGUUCAAAUCCAGCCCCCG
RNAcentral lists this transfer RNA (69 nucleotides) under Limosilactobacillus reuteri. RNAcentral's name for it is "Lactobacillus reuteri tRNA-Met". It matches the Rfam family "tRNA". From Rfam's summary of the family: Transfer RNA (tRNA) molecules are approximately 80 nucleotides in length. Lineage: Bacteria; Bacillati; Bacillota; Bacilli; Lactobacillales; Lactobacillaceae. The record is from RNAcentral.